AGGAGAGUUUGAUCCUGGCUCAGAACGAACGCUGGCGGCGCGUUUUAAGCAUGCAAGUCGAGCGGUAAGCCGGAGCAAUCCGGCCUAGAGCGGCGGACGGGUGAGUAACACGUGGAUAAUCUGGCCUACAGUUUGGGAUAGCCUGGUGAAAGCCAGGAUAAUACCGGAUACGACGGUUUUGACAUAAGUCAGGAUCGGGAAAGGGGCUAAGGCCUCGCUGAAGGAUGAGUCCGCGUCCCAUUAGCUAGAUGGUGAGGUAAAGGCCCACCAUGGCGAUGAUGGGUAGCCGGCCUAAGAGGGUGAACGGCCACAUUGGGACUGAGAUACGGCCCAGACUCCUACGGGAGGCAGCAGCUAAGAAUCUUCCGCAAUGGUCGAAAGACUGACGGAGCGACGCCGCGUGAAUGAUGAAGGCCGUGAGGUUGUAAAGUUCUUUUCUGGAGGGAGAAUAAGUGGUGUAGGGAAUGACACCAUGAUGACGUGAAUCCAGGAAUAAGCCCCGGCUAACUACGUGCCAGCAGCCGCGGUAACACGUAGGGGGCAAGCGUUGUUCGGAAUUAUUGGGCGUAAAGGGUGCGCAGGCGGCUUGGCAAGUCUGCUGUUAAAUGGUUGAGCUUAACUCAAUCAUGCGGUGGAAACUAUCAAGCUAGAAUCAACGAAGGGAUGCCGGAAUUCCAGGUGUAGGGGUGAAAUCUGUAGAUAUCUGGAAGAACACCAAUGGCGAAGGCAGGCAUCUGGCGACUGAUUGACGCUGAGGCACGAAGGUGCGGGGAGCAAACAGGUUUAGAUACCCUGGUAGUCCCCU
This 805-nucleotide ribosomal RNA is filed under the name uncultured Spirochaetota bacterium. RNAcentral describes it as "bacterial SSU rRNA". It matches the Rfam family "Bacterial small subunit ribosomal RNA", at positions 1 to 799 of the family's 1533-position model. The record is from RNAcentral. Lineage: Bacteria; Pseudomonadati; Spirochaetota.